This 35-nucleotide non-coding RNA is filed under the name unclassified sequences. RNAcentral's name for it is "DUF805b RNA". It matches the Rfam family "DUF805b RNA". Rfam says of the family: Bacteroidetes, Chlorobi (1 example), Proteobacteria. Lineage (Flavobacteria) The record is from RNAcentral.
AGAGAGGAUGCCGAAAAUCUCAUAUAGAGUAGGCG